AGCCCGGUGGUGUAGCGGCCCAGCAUUUGGGGCUUUGAACCCCGAGACGCAGGUUCGAAUCCUGCCCGGGCUA
RNAcentral lists this transfer RNA (73 nucleotides) under Candidatus Sigynarchaeota archaeon. Its description in RNAcentral is "tRNA-Gln". It matches the Rfam family "tRNA". From Rfam's summary of the family: Transfer RNA (tRNA) molecules are approximately 80 nucleotides in length. Their secondary structure includes four short double-helical elements and three loops (D, anti-codon, and T loops). Further hydrogen bonds mediate the characteristic L-shaped molecular structure. tRNAs have two regions of fundamental functional importance: the anti-codon, which is responsible for specific mRNA codon recognition, and the 3' end, to which the tRNAs corresponding amino acid is attached (by aminoacyl-tRNA synthetases). tRNAs cope with the degeneracy of the genetic code in two manners: having more than one tRNA (with a specific anti-codon) for a particular amino acid; and 'wobble' base-pairing, i.e. permitting non-standard base-pairing at the 3rd anti-codon position. Lineage: Archaea; Promethearchaeati; Candidatus Sigynarchaeota. The record is from RNAcentral.